Molecule: ribosomal RNA, 211 nt
Filed under: Glomeromycota sp.
Lineage: Eukaryota; Fungi; Glomeromycota
Description: partial small subunit ribosomal RNA
Source: RNAcentral
AAACUCGUGCUCAUCAGCUCAUAGCGUAUAUUAAGUUGUUGCAGUUAAAAAGCUCGUAUUGAACCUUGGGUCUGGCUGGCCGGUCCGCCUCACCGCGAGUACUGGUCCGGCUGGACCUUUCCUUCUGGGGAACCCCAUGGCCUUCACUGGCUGUGGGGGGAACCAGGACUUUUACUGUGAAAAAAUUAGAGUGUUUAAAGCAGGCACCACU